Long non-coding RNA from Lactuca sativa (garden lettuce), 603 nucleotides. RefSeq lists it as uncharacterized. Lineage: Eukaryota; Viridiplantae; Streptophyta; Magnoliopsida; Asterales; Asteraceae. The record is from RefSeq and is a predicted model, not a curated record.
UUUUCUUUUUGGUGAAAUGUCUCUGAGUAGAUCUUACGAGAGACCACAAAAUUCAACAAUGAUAUUUUUAAUUAGAAAAAAGACCAUAUUAGCUUCCAAAACCCCAACUCAAAAUACAAAACAUGUGCAUCCACUUGUGCUGGAUUCAGCUAUGUGUGCAACUCUCAAUGGGCGCAUAGACAAUACAAUCUAGUUAUAUUUGGUGAAAAAUUUCAGAGUACCUGAUCAUUUCAAAUACACCCAGUCUUCAUCUAAAUAACGUCUUUUGGCUAUCAUGAUUAUUCCUGCAUAUUCAACAGGUAAGUGAUUAUAUGUAAAUAUUUAUAUUUUCAUAGAAUAAUAAAGAAAUGUGAACAAUAGAUUGAGGGAUAUGUUGAAUCUUAGCAUUGUAUUUGGAUUAACACUUCCAAUUUCACAGCCUUGGUCCUGAUUUGCAAUCGACAACUGCAAAAGGUGUUUAAUCUAAUUUGUUUGGAACAAACGAUGGUAUGAUGUGUGCCGAAGAAGUGAGUUCGCCUUAAGGUUUCUGGUAUGCAGUCUCUGCAUACACAUUUGGGGGUAUAGGGUUAGUGCAAGAAAUUGGGUAGUUUUUGUGCUACCGUA